Molecule: ribosomal RNA, 266 nt
Filed under: uncultured bacterium
Lineage: Bacteria
Description: partial 16S ribosomal RNA
Rfam family: Bacterial small subunit ribosomal RNA
Source: RNAcentral
UGGGUUAGUGGCGGACGGGUGAGUAACGCGUGGGUAACCUGCCUUACACAGGGGGAUAACACUUAGAAAUAGGUGCUAAAACCGCAUAAGCGCACAGCUUCGCAUGAAGCGGUGUGAAAAACUCCGGUGGUGUAAGAUGGACCCGCGUCUGAUUAGCUUGUUGGCGGGGUAACGGCCCACCAAGGCGACGAUCAGUAGCCGGCCUGAGAGGGCGGACGGCCACAUUGGGACUGAGACACGGCCCAGACUCCUACGGAAGGCAGCAG